UACGUAGGGAGCAAGCGUUGUCCGGAAUUACUGGGCGUAAAGCGUGCGCAGGCGGUUUUGUAAGCCAGAUGUGAAAUGCCCGGGCUUAACCUGGGAACUGCAUUUGUGACUGCAUGGCUAGAGUUUGGCAGAGGGGGGUAGAAUUCCACGUGUAGCAGUGAAAUGCGUAGAUAUGUGGAGGAACACCGAUGGCGAAGGCAGCCCCCUGGGUCAAGACUGACGCUCAUGCACGAAAGCGUGGGGAGCAAACAGG
Molecule: ribosomal RNA, 253 nt
Filed under: uncultured bacterium
Lineage: Bacteria
Description: partial 16S ribosomal RNA
Rfam family: Bacterial small subunit ribosomal RNA
Source: RNAcentral